This 403-nucleotide ribosomal RNA is filed under the name Fusobacteriota bacterium. Its description in RNAcentral is "Fusobacteria bacterium partial 16S ribosomal RNA". It matches the Rfam family "Bacterial small subunit ribosomal RNA", at positions 355 to 776 of the family's 1533-position model. Lineage: Bacteria; Fusobacteriati; Fusobacteriota. The record is from RNAcentral.
UGGGGAAUAUUGCACAAUGGAGGGAACUCUGAUGCAGCGACGCCGCGUGAGUGAUGAAGGAAUUCGUUUCGUAAAACUCUGUUCUAUGGGAAGAAAAGGACUGUACCAUAGGAGAAAGCUCCGGCUAAAUACGUGCCAGCAGCCGCGGUAAUACGUAUGGAGCGAGCGUUGUCCGGAAUUAUUGGGCGUAAAGGGUUCGCAGGCGGAAAUGCAAGUCAGGUGUAAAAGGCAGUAGCUUAACUACUGUAAGCAUUUGAAACUGCAUAUCUUGAGAAGAGUAGAGGUAAGUGGAAUUUUUAGUGUAGCGGUGAAAUGCGUAGAUAUUAAAAAGAAUACCGGUGGCGAAGGCGACUUACUGGGCUCAUUCUGACGCUGAGGAACGAAAGCGUGGGUAGCAAACAGG